Transfer RNA from Tortispora caseinolytica NRRL Y-17796, 73 nucleotides. It matches the Rfam family "tRNA". Rfam says of the family: Transfer RNA (tRNA) molecules are approximately 80 nucleotides in length. Their secondary structure includes four short double-helical elements and three loops (D, anti-codon, and T loops). Further hydrogen bonds mediate the characteristic L-shaped molecular structure. tRNAs have two regions of fundamental functional importance: the anti-codon, which is responsible for specific mRNA codon recognition, and the 3' end, to which the tRNAs corresponding amino acid is attached (by aminoacyl-tRNA synthetases). tRNAs cope with the degeneracy of the genetic code in two manners: having more than one tRNA (with a specific anti-codon) for a particular amino acid; and 'wobble' base-pairing, i.e. permitting non-standard base-pairing at the 3rd anti-codon position. The record is from Rfam. Lineage: Eukaryota; Fungi; Ascomycota; Trigonopsidomycetes; Trigonopsidales; Trigonopsidaceae.
GGUGCUGUGUCGCAAUGGUUAGCGAGUUGGAUUUCGGUUCCAAAGGUUGCAGGUUCGAAUCCUGUCAGCAUCG